AGUCUGGUGCCAGCAGCGGCGGUAAUUCCAGCUCCAAUAGCGUAUAUUAAAGUUGUUGCAGUUAAAAAGCUCGUAGUUGGACUUGUGUGCGCUGUCCGCGGGUGGCCUGCGCCCAAAAGGGCGUUUCGGUUCGGCCCCGGUGGCGCCUUGAAAUCUGCAGCUGGGGGGACGUUGGCCUUAACUGGUCGGCGACACGCCGGCUGCUCGGUUACUGUGAGAAAAUUAGAGUGUUCAAGGCAGGCAUUGGGUGCAAUUGAAUACAUUAGCAUGGAAUAAUAAAAUAUGGCUCCUGCCGUAUUUUGUUGGUUUUGACUGGUGGGAGUAAUGAUUGAUAGGGACGGUUGGGGGUGCUAGUAUUGAGCGGCCAGAGGUGAAAUUCAUGGAUUCGCUCAAGACUAACUUAUGCGAAAGCAUUCACCAAGGACGUCCUCUUUAAUCAAGAACGAAAGUUGGGGGAUCGAAGACGAUCAGAUACCGUCGUAGUCUCAACCAUAAACUAUGUCGACUUGGGAUCGGCGGUAGUUUUUUCAUUAAGACACUGUCGGGACCACGGGAGAAAUCAAAGUGUCUGGACUCUGGGGGAAGUAUGGUCGCAAGGCUGAAACUUGAAGGAAUUGACGGAAGGGCACCACCAGGAGUGGAGCCUGCGGCUUAAUUUGACCUAACACGGGGAAACUUACCAGGUCCAGAGAUGUAGAGGAUUGACAGAUUGAAGCUCUUUCUUGAUCACUUCGGUGGUGGUGCAUGGCCGUUCUUAGUUGGUGGAGUGAUUUGUCUGGUUAAUUCCGUUAACGAACGAGACCUCAGCCUGCUAGUGUAGUCGGCUGGAUUGCCUUUGGCGAUCCGUGAUUUCGACUUCUUAGAGGGACAAUCGACGCGCAGUCGAUGGAAGUUUGAGGCAAUAACAGGUCUGUGAUGCCCUUAGAUGUUCUGGGCCGCACGCGCGCUACACUGCUGGGCUCAGCGAGUUUUACUUGGCCGAGAGGCCCGGUUAAUCUUGUGAAAUCCCAGCGUUCUUGGGCUCGCCUCCUGCAACUGGAGGCGCCAACGAGGAAUUCCUAGUAGACGCAGGUCAUCAACCUGCAUCGAUUACGUCCCUGCCCUUUGUACACACCGCCCGUCGUUCCAUAAGAGUGAGGCAUCCGGUGAAUUCUCGGGAGAGCCUGGGUGUGGCCAGCAAUGGUCUGCUCGGGUUUGAACUUGCAUAAACUUGGUGCCUAUGAUUAGGGAAAAGUCGUAACAAGGUUUCCGUAGGUUCCUGCGGAAG
RNAcentral lists this ribosomal RNA (1267 nucleotides) under metagenome. Its description in RNAcentral is "SSU rRNA". It matches the Rfam family "Eukaryotic small subunit ribosomal RNA", at positions 558 to 1823 of the family's 1831-position model. The record is from RNAcentral.